CCUACGGGUGGCAGCAGUGGGGAAUAUUGCACAAUGGGGGAAACCCUGAUGCAGCGACGCCGCGUGAGUGAAGAAGUAUUUCGGUAUGUUAAGCUCUAUCAGCCGGGAAGAAAUAGCGACCUUUGGGUCGCCAGACGGUACCUGAUUAAGAAGCCCCGGCUAACUACGUGCCAGCAGCCGCGGUAAUACGUAGGGGGCAAGCGUUAUCCGGGUUUACUGGGUGUAAAGGGGGCGUAGACGGCAGCGCAAGUCUGAAGUGAAAUACCGGGGCUUAACCCCGGAACUGCUGUUGAAACUGUGCAGCUAGAGUGCAGGAGAGGUAAGUGGAAUUCCUAGUGUAGCGGUGAAAUGCGUAGAUAUUAGGAGGAACACCAGUGGCGAAGGCGGCUUACUGGACUGUAACUGACGUUGAGGCUCGAAAGCGUGGGGAGCAAACAGGAUUAGAUACCCCUGUAGUC
This 458-nucleotide ribosomal RNA is filed under the name uncultured bacterium. RNAcentral's name for it is "partial 16S ribosomal RNA". It matches the Rfam family "Bacterial small subunit ribosomal RNA", at positions 338 to 795 of the family's 1533-position model. The record is from RNAcentral.